This 946-nucleotide ribosomal RNA is filed under the name Ekhidna sp. RNAcentral describes it as "partial 23S ribosomal RNA". It matches the Rfam family "Bacterial large subunit ribosomal RNA", at positions 1954 to 2925 of the family's 2925-position model. The record is from RNAcentral. Lineage: Bacteria; Pseudomonadati; Bacteroidota; Cytophagia; Cytophagales; Reichenbachiellaceae.
AGGUAGCGAAAUUCCUUGUCGGGUAAGUUCCGACCUGCACGAAUGGUGCAACGAUCUGGGUACUGUCUCAACCACGAGCUCGGUGAAAUUGUAGUUCCGGUGAAGAUGCCGGAUACCCGCAACGGGACGAAAAGACCCCGUGAACCUUUACUAUAGCUUCACAUUGAUAUUGGGUAAAUAAUGUGUAGGAUAGCUGGGAGACUCUGAAGCUGCGUCGUCAGGCACAGUGGAGUCGUUGGUGAAAUACCAGCCUUUAUUUAUUUGAUGUCUAACCCUGAAAAGGAGACAGUGUGUGGUGGGUAGUUUGACUGGGGUGGUCGCCUCCAAAAAAGUAACGGAGGCUUUCAAAGGUGCCCUCAGCACGCUUGGUAACCGUGCACAGAGUGCAAUAGCAUAAGGGUGCUUGACUGUGAGGCUCACAAGCCGAUCAGGUAGGAAACUAGGAUAUAGUGAUCCGGCGGUUCUGUAUGGAAAGGCCGUCGCUCAAAGGAUAAAAGGUACUCCGGGGAUAACAGGCUGAUCUCCCCCAAGAGCUCAUAUCGACGGGGAGGUUUGGCACCUCGAUGUCGGCUCGUCACAUCCCGGGGCUGGAGAAGGUCCCAAGGGUUGGGCUGUUCGCCCAUUAAAGUGGCACGCGAGCUGGGUUCAGAACGUCGUGAGACAGUUCGGUCUCUAUCUGUUGUGGGCGUAAGAAACUUGAAUAAAUCUGACCUUAGUACGAGAGGACCGGGUUGGACUAACCGCUGGUGUACCAGUUGUUCUGCCAAGGGCACUGCUGGGUAGCUAUGUUGGGAAGGGAUAAGCACUGAAAGCAUCUAAGUGCGAAACCCGCUAUAAGAUGAGGUUUCUUUUAAGGGACGUUCCAGAUGAGGACGUAGAUAGGCUGUAAGUGUAAAGGCAGUAAUGUCAAAGCUAAGCAGUACUAAUUACCCGUAAACUUUCUGAA